GCCUCUGCAUCUCAAUUGGUUAAGUUAUGUUAUAGCUUUACCUUGGAAUUAUGUUAAGUUUUUUUAUAUUUUUUGAGCCUUCUCAUUUGGUAUGUGACUGUGUAGCAUCCUGUCUCUAUGGAACUUGGUGGUAAAAUUCCAAUUGUAGGUUUUUGAAGUUACAGAUCUUGAUAAAGCUGCCGAGAUGACUAUUUUUGGUUGCUUUUGGACAAAUGGCCAAAUCUAUAGUGCAACACCUCCCCUUCUACUGCAUGGCCUGCAGUGGUGUACUAAGAUUCGUCAUGGAAAGUGGUAACAAGGGUUGUUAGGUUGUUUCCUUAACUGUAGAGU
Papaver somniferum (opium poppy) is the source of this 330-nucleotide long non-coding RNA. RefSeq lists it as uncharacterized. The record is from RefSeq and is a predicted model, not a curated record. The transcript is spliced from 3 exons. NCBI's taxonomy places the organism in Eukaryota, Viridiplantae, Streptophyta, Magnoliopsida, Ranunculales, Papaveraceae.